This 274-nucleotide ribosomal RNA is filed under the name uncultured bacterium. Its description in RNAcentral is "partial 16S ribosomal RNA". It matches the Rfam family "Bacterial small subunit ribosomal RNA", at positions 523 to 796 of the family's 1533-position model. The record is from RNAcentral.
AUACGGAGGGUGCAAGCGUUAAUCGGAUUUACUGGGCGUAAAGCGUGCGUAGGCGGUUUGAUAAGUCAGAUGUGAAAGCCCCGGGCUCAACCUGGGAACUGCAUUUGAAACUGUCAGACUAGAGUUUGGUAGAGGGUAGUAGAAUUCCUGGUGUAGCGGUGAAAUGCGUAGAUAUCAGGAGGAAUACCAGUGGCGAAGGCGGCUACCUGGACCAAAACUGACGCUGAGGUACGAAAGCGUGGGGAGCAAACAGGAUUAGAUACCCCUGUAGUCC